Long non-coding RNA from Phycodurus eques (leafy seadragon), 3018 nucleotides. RefSeq lists it as uncharacterized. The record is from RefSeq and is a predicted model, not a curated record. NCBI's taxonomy places the organism in Eukaryota, Metazoa, Chordata, Actinopteri, Syngnathiformes, Syngnathidae. The transcript is spliced from 8 exons.
AGCAAACACACACCUCAGGAUUUUGAGUUUGACUUUACGCGGGGCGAUCUCGCAGGCUUUGACAGCGUCUUCCAAGGUCAUCCCUAAAGUGCACCUGCCGCAAAUGUAGAGGAUCUUGUCAUUAGGUUGGACGCUGCCCUCUUCACUGGCCGGGGAGCCUGGCACUACCUCCAGACAGUAAAUGCCCUGCCAUUUGCUGCCAAUGCCACCGUUUCCCGACAUUCAACUGCGACUCUUGAUGAACUGGUCGAAAGCAGACUGGCGGUGAGCUGGGUGACGUGGGAGAAGCAGGCGAGGCUGGCGAGAUGGGCGUCGGAGGAGACGUGGGAUAGGCGGAAUCUUGGAGCUGUAGGAGAGUCUGGGCUUUUCUCUGCUGGGUCAUUCAGCUCCUCCUCGAGGGUGGUUGCCGUAUUCUGAGCAGGUCCAUCUGGCACAAUGGAAGCAAUGAAUAUACCAAGGUCGAGUUUACCUGUAUUGUCCUCGCCUACAAUCACAAAGCCUGCCACGGGACCAUAGCGGAUGCGGAGACAAAAGUCCUCAUUUAAACAAUUAGAUCCUGGAAGCUCAAGAACAAUUUGCUGUUCGUCAGCCAUUCGGAUAAAUUCGGGACCCAAAGCCUGUUUCCCACAUGCAUAACCCCUAUUAGGGUUACCCACGAUCUCCACGUGACAACAGGAAUCUAAUAAACAGAGCUUUACCAGAUGUUCAUCUUUCCUCUGGCUCAGGCUGAUGGAGGACUCGCUGAAGGUGAUGGAAGGACUGUGAGACCUGCCCGAUGUCUUGGGAGAGACGUCGUGGUGGGGGCUCCGGCCGAGCCAACUGCAGGUGCUGUCCCUGUGACGAGCCCCUCGCGGGAGCCUGAAUUGAAGGAGGGGAGAGAUAAAUAACAUUGUCAUCAGUGGACAACAUGAACAUACCUGACUUUGAGUCUGAGUCGAUCGAGUAUCUUCUCCUUUCUGGACAACCUUCACUGAAGUCUGCAAAUGGCCCUCGCCUUCCUGUCAAGCGGGUUAGAUUUCAUGAUGAUGAUGACGAUGAUAAUGGUGGUGAUGAUGAUGAUGAUGAGAUGAAUGCAUUAUUUGAACGUAGGUGAGGCUAAGGACGACGGUCGGUAUCUGAUUACGGUCUCUGGCAACAAUCUAAUCCCAGACCCGUUUUACGUUAAGAUUUUAAUCCUGUCAACCUGGACACUAGUUUGGCUAAGACCUAAAUGUGAAAAAUGACAAAUUUACUUGAGUUCAGGUUUCUGCAAAGUUUAUGGAAACGCAACCAUCUUUCAUCUCGUUUUCCAUCACACUAUACCUCACUAUCAAACUGCUGUAUUACUAUUGCAGAGAACAAUGUGGCUCGAACCCAAGAGUCUUCUUUGCCAGAGAGGAUCUAACAUUUUUCUGUCAACAUUCUAAAAUGUAGACAGUUAAUCGUUCAAGAACUGCCUUUUUAUCAAACGCUUAUGUUUGGUAUCAUGAUGUACAGAUUCAGACUUCCUUUUUGAAGUUGAGUUGUGACUAAUAGGUUGUCCGUCACAUUAAUAUGGUCAGACCAUCUGACUGUGGUUAAUUUUCAAAGUGACGUUGUACCUAACCGAACUGAGGUAGAGAGAUGGGAUAUUCCAUCAUAUAAUUCGACUAUUCAAAGUAGUUAGAUGAUUUAAUAUGAUUAGUGGUUUCAAAGUCAUUGUACCAUAUGUAUCUCACUGUUAUUAUGUUGUUUAUUCAUUUGUUACUUGGAAUGUACUGCAUGCUUGGCAUUCUGAUCUUAGAUUCGCCCCUGAUCCAAUUCCGCCAGAGACUCACCAUGAAGCCUUUCUCUGAUCAUCUGGCUCCGCCCGCUUAGAGGCAAGCUACUGUCAGAGGCAUGGUCCAUCUGCGGGAACAAGGACCUGUGAACAACAGGCACUGCGAACCCCCCCAAAAAGGUCCACGUGUGCACUCACCGGUUCACUGAAGACCUCCUCUACCAGCUGCCUGAUGACGUCGGCAGAUGGCGGCAGGCCGGAGGCUUUCUGACGGCACUCGCAGGCUUCCAGGAUGGAGGUGAUGGUUAGCCUGCGAUGGGACACGUCCUCACACAUGCUGAGGAGGAGGCUGUUGAGAUGGUCGCUCAACUGGACUGGCUGAGAUGGCACGUUAAAAAUAAAAUAUGUUAUGAUUGUACAGUACAGUUCAUCUGGAAAAAAUCACUAGUUCAUUUUUUCCACAUUUUAUGUUCCAGCCUUAUUCCAAAAUUGAUUAAAUUAAAUUCUAAAAACACCCCAUAAUGACAAUGUGAACAAGUAUUGAGCAAAGGCUGUGAAUACUUAUGUACACACUGGUUGUGUAGUGGUGCAUGCUGCUGACUUUCAUGCAGACAGCUCGGGUUUGAUUCCCGGUCGGUGCCCCAAUAAACAGCCGCGGUCGGUCCCAAGCCCAGAUUAAAAACUAAAAAAAAAAAAAAAAAAAAAACAACAACAACAAAAAGCGGCUGCUUCAGGAAGGGAAUCCGGUGUAAAAACUGUGCCAAACAAAUCAUGCAAGUUACUUGCUGUGGUGACCCCUGAUGGGACAAGCCACAACAACAAUUACUUACUGUAUGUACUGUACAUGUGAUUUCUUAGUUGUUGUUUUUUUAAUAUUAAUACAUGAAAGAGAAAAUUCAAAAACACUUUUUUAAAACGUUCAUUAUACUGUGUGUUGUCUUUAGAAUUUUAAGGGAAACAUUAAUACACCUUGACUCCAUUUUAGGAUAAGGCUGAAGCAUAACAAAAUGUGAAAAGGAAGUGAAGCGCUAUGAAUACUUUCUGGAUGAACGCUAUUUGAUCCCAAGAUUUGGUUAGAUGAAGGGAGCCCACCUGAUUUUGAGGUAGGUGAAAAUCAACUGACCAGUAGAGUGUCAUACCCAGUGAAUACACGAGCAUCUGUGUAGCAAAAAUCAACAAGAGGAACAAUUCUUACAUUUUCAGUGUUUUAACCCACAGAGAAUUAAUUGUUGAAGCAUAUUAUUUGCAAUACAUGAUGUCUCUUUACUAACUUCUUUAAA